This 496-nucleotide ribosomal RNA is filed under the name uncultured bacterium. RNAcentral describes it as "partial 16S ribosomal RNA". It matches the Rfam family "Bacterial small subunit ribosomal RNA", at positions 29 to 507 of the family's 1533-position model. The record is from RNAcentral.
AUGAACGCUGGCGGCGUGCCUAAUACAUGCAAGUCGAGCGAACAGACGAGGAGCUUGCUCCUCUGACGUUAGCGGCGGACGGGUGUGUAACACGUGGAUAACCUACCUAUAAGACUGGGAUAACUUCGGGAAACCGGAGCUAAUACCGGAUAACAUGUUGAACCGCAUGGUUCAACAGUGAAAGACGGUCUUGCUGUCACUUAUAGAUGGAUCCGCGCCGCAUUAGCUAGUUGGUAAGGUAACGGCUUACCAAGGCAACGAUGCGUAGCCGACCUGAGAGGGUGAUCGGCCACACUGGAACUGAGACACGGUCCAGACUCCUACGGGAGGCAGCAGUAGGGAAUCUUCCGCAAUGGGCGAAAGCCUGACGGAGCAACGCCGCGUGAGUGAAGAAGGUCUUCGGAUCGUAAAACUCUGUUAUUAGGGAAGAACAAAUGUGUAAGUAACUAUGCACGUCUUGACGGUACCUAAUCAGAAAGCCACGGCUAACUACGUG